GGUGUCGAUUUUUCUCUUGCUGCUGCAGUUGCAACUGCAGCUGGGGAUCUUUGGAAAACGAUGCAAUAAACUAGAUGUGCCACCCAAUGGAUACUUAAUAGAAAGGCGACACUUUUUGCAAGUCGGAUGCGACUUCAACUAUAUACUAGCGGGCAAAUCGACAAUUAGAUGUGGAAAAUAUGGACGACCCUAUGAUAAGAGAAUCUUCUCUGCCAGACCAGGCUGUGCACGGCCCUCAGAUCCGGAGGAUGGUAAAAUCCAGUUGAUAAACGGCUUAUCAGCUGUUGUUGAAAUUAUCAUUCGGACCUUACGGGGGCACAACUUGAUCACACCCUGCUAAAUGCAUACGGUGAACACUAUAUGCUGCUGGAGACUAGCCCAUACGCGAUUGGCCGCCCACAUUUGAUAUCUCCAAUAUAUUCGAAAGAGUUGAGCUUGAAGAAUUUGUGUUGUUUUGCUUUCAUUAUUACAUGUAUGGCUCUGGAGUUGGCAGUUUGGUGGUGUCAGUGAAGCCUGAUGGGGGGAAAUGGGAUUGAAUGAAAUGUGGGAAAAUCAGAGACUCUAUCGAAAGUUGAACAUAACUGGCAAUCAAGGCAACCAAUGGUUGGAGCAUACGAUUCUCAUCGACGAGGUGAACGAUGACUUUCAGAGGUG
Drosophila innubila is the source of this 654-nucleotide long non-coding RNA. RefSeq lists it as uncharacterized. The transcript has 3 exons. Lineage: Eukaryota; Metazoa; Arthropoda; Insecta; Diptera; Drosophilidae. The record is from RefSeq and is a predicted model, not a curated record.